GAUGAACGCUAGCGAUAGGCUUAACACAUGCAAGUCGAGGGGCAGCAUGGUCUUAGCUUGCUAAGACUGAUGGCGACCGGCGCACGGGUGCGUAACGCGUAUGCAACUUGCCUCACAGAGGGGGAUAACCCGUCGAAAGACGGACUAAUACCGCGUACACUUGGGAUAGGGCAUCCUGACCCAAGGAAAUGAAAUUCGCUGUGAGAUAGGCAUGCGUCCCAUUAGCUAGUUGGUGAGGUAACGGCUCACCAAGGCGACGAUGGGUAGGGGAACUGAGAGGUUGAACCCCCACACUGGUACUGAGACACGGACCAGACUCCUACGGGAGGCAGCAGUGAGGAAUAUUGGUCAAUGGGCGAGAGCCUGAACCAGCCAAGUCGCGUGAAGGAUGACUGCCUUAUGGAUUGUAAACUUCUUUUAUACGGGAAUAACAAGAGUCACGUGUGGCUCCCUGCAUGUACCGUAUGAAUAAGCAUCGGCUAACUCCGUG
Molecule: ribosomal RNA, 490 nt
Filed under: uncultured bacterium
Lineage: Bacteria
Description: partial 16S ribosomal RNA
Rfam family: Bacterial small subunit ribosomal RNA
Source: RNAcentral